ACGAAGUCUUCGGACUGAGUGGCGGACGGGUGAGUAACACGUGAGAACCUGCCUUAAGGUCGGGGAUAACAGUUGGAAACGACUGCUAAUACCGGAUGUGCCUACGGGUGAAAGAUUUAUUGCCUAAAGAUGGGCUCGCGUCUGAUUAGCUAGUUGGAGUGGUAAUGGCACACCAAGGCGACGAUCAGUAGCUGGUCUGAGAGGAUGAUCAGCCGCACUGGGACUGAGACACGGCCCAGACUCCUACGGGAGGCAGCAGUGGGGAAUUUUCCGCAAUGGGCGAAAGCCUGACGGAGCAAGACCGCGUGAGGGAGGAAGGCUCUUGGGUUGUAAACCUCUUUUGUCAGGGAAGAACACAAUGACGGUACCUGACGAAUCAGCAUCGGCUAACUCCGUGCCAGCAGCCGCGGUAAUACGGAGGAUGCAAGCGUUAUCCGGAAUUAUUGGGCGUAAAGCGUCCGCAGGUGGUUGUACAAGUCUGCUGUCAAAGCGCGGAGCUUAACUCCGUAAAGGCGGUGGAAACUGUGCGACUAGAGUUCGGUAGGGGUCGCGGGAAUUCCCAGUGUAGCGGUGAAAUGCGUAGAUAUUGGGAAGAACACCGGUGGCGAAAGCGCGCGACUGGACCGAGACUGACACUCAUGGACGAAAGCUAGGGGAGCGAAAGGGAUUAGAUACCCCUGUAGUCCUAGCCGUA
Molecule: ribosomal RNA, 694 nt
Filed under: uncultured cyanobacterium
Lineage: Bacteria; Bacillati; Cyanobacteriota
Description: bacterial SSU rRNA
Rfam family: Bacterial small subunit ribosomal RNA
Source: RNAcentral